This is a long non-coding RNA of Piliocolobus tephrosceles (Ugandan red Colobus), 757 nucleotides long. RefSeq lists it as uncharacterized. Lineage: Eukaryota; Metazoa; Chordata; Mammalia; Primates; Cercopithecidae. The transcript is spliced from 3 exons. The record is from RefSeq and is a predicted model, not a curated record.
UCCUGUUUUCCUCACUCUCUCAAGGCGAGUGAGGUCUACGGGGGAAAGUCCCCUCACCCCCAUAGACCUCCUGGAAUGCCUGGAACAGCUGAGCAACCUGGGCACAGGUGGCUUGAGACAACCUAGCUAUUCAGGCCUGAUGCCAGAGUGAACGCCACAGGGAGACUGCCGGGUCUGGGGGGCACGUGCUGGUCAGGCCCCCAGUAGACCCCUUGCAGGCAGAUCUCCAUCCCCAUGCAGAGUCUAUAUCCUAGAAAUCCAACCUGAGAUCCAGCAGCACCGAGAAAGGGAAGCUAUUUCAAGAGAUAGGAAUUGUCAGAAAAAGCCGGAGAAGGUGGUGUUAAAUGAAAACAUUGAGAAUGGGGGGUGAAGAUGCCGGUUAUUCGUAGUAGAAGAUGGGUCUUCAAAAGCCAGGAGGCGGAGGAGAGGAAUGCUGUCAGUGGGAUAAAGCUGGAGAUUUCUGCUACGUGCAGCACAUACUGCUAAUCCUUUCUCAUCUCCAGGAAGUUUUCAAAAACCUGCUUCUGUAACUAACGGACAGGUCUUCUGGAUCCAAGGUCACCUGCUGGGGAGAAAGAGAAGUCUUUGGAUAAACAUUGCAAGUUUUCCUGGAACAUCGAUGCUGUUUAAGAUUUAAGAUUUUUUGGAAAGAAGGGAAUAAGGUUUUUACAAAUGUUUUCAAAAGUGUAACAUGUAUAUAUGCUCAUUUCAGACCAUUUGAUCAGUAUAAAAUAUUAAAGAAGAAAGUAAGAACUCA